This 344-nucleotide ribosomal RNA is filed under the name uncultured bacterium. RNAcentral describes it as "bacterial SSU rRNA". It matches the Rfam family "Bacterial small subunit ribosomal RNA", at positions 28 to 371 of the family's 1533-position model. The record is from RNAcentral.
AAUGAACGCUGGCGGCGUGCCUAACACAUGCAAGUCGGAUGUGCCGCAAGGUGCAUGGCAGACGGGUGAGUAACGCGUGGGGAACCUACCUCUUCGUGGGGAAUAACGAUCCGAAAGGAUUGGUAAUACCGCAUGAGACCGACGGCUGGGAUGCUGUCGGUGAAAGCUGGGGACCGGAAACGGCCUGGCGCGAGGAGAGGGUCCUGCGUCUGAUUAGCUAGUUGGUGGGGUAACGGCCUACCAAGGCAUCGAUCAGUAGCCGGCCUGAGAGGGUGAUCGGCCACACUGGAACUGAGACACGGUCCAGACUCCUACGGGAGGCAGCAGUGGGGAAGUUUUGUCGG